GGGCGUAUGGCGCAGCUGGUUAGCGCGUCUGCUCGACACGCAGGAGGUCACAGGUUCGAGUCCUGUUACGCCCA
RNAcentral lists this transfer RNA (74 nucleotides) under Candidatus Nutricula glyptotermitis. Its description in RNAcentral is "tRNA-Val". It matches the Rfam family "tRNA". Rfam says of the family: Transfer RNA (tRNA) molecules are approximately 80 nucleotides in length. Their secondary structure includes four short double-helical elements and three loops (D, anti-codon, and T loops). Further hydrogen bonds mediate the characteristic L-shaped molecular structure. tRNAs have two regions of fundamental functional importance: the anti-codon, which is responsible for specific mRNA codon recognition, and the 3' end, to which the tRNAs corresponding amino acid is attached (by aminoacyl-tRNA synthetases). tRNAs cope with the degeneracy of the genetic code in two manners: having more than one tRNA (with a specific anti-codon) for a particular amino acid; and 'wobble' base-pairing, i.e. permitting non-standard base-pairing at the 3rd anti-codon position. The record is from RNAcentral. Lineage: Bacteria; Bacillati; Actinomycetota; Actinomycetes; Bifidobacteriales; Bifidobacteriaceae.